This is a non-coding RNA of Pantoea stewartii subsp. stewartii DC283, 126 nucleotides long. The record is from Rfam. Lineage: Bacteria; Pseudomonadati; Pseudomonadota; Gammaproteobacteria; Enterobacterales; Erwiniaceae.
AACCCCCUGAAAAUCCCUCUCGAACUUGCCGGAACGGAGGAUAAUCAGGGGGUCACAAAGCAGGCGGCGUGCCUUUGAAGGAUUAUAGCAAAUGCAUUUCUCAAUACAAGACCUCUGCCCGGCAAU